This 278-nucleotide ribosomal RNA is filed under the name uncultured Oscillospiraceae bacterium. Its description in RNAcentral is "partial 16S ribosomal RNA". It matches the Rfam family "Bacterial small subunit ribosomal RNA", at positions 60 to 339 of the family's 1533-position model. The record is from RNAcentral. Lineage: Bacteria; Bacillati; Bacillota; Clostridia; Eubacteriales; Oscillospiraceae.
AGAUCCCUUCGGGGUGACGUUAUCGUAACUUAGUGGCGAACGGGUGAGUAACACGUGAGUAACCUGCCUUUCAGAGGGGGACAACAGUUGGAAACGACUGCUAAUACCGCAUAAGACCACAGAGCGGCAUCGCUCAGGGGUCAAAGGAGCAAUCCGCUGAAAGAUGGACUCGCGUCCAAUUAGCUGGUUGGUGAGGUAACGGCCCACCAAGGCGACGAUUGGUAGCCGGACUGAGAGGUUGAACGGCCACAUUGGGACUGAGACACGGCCCAGACUCC